Molecule: transfer RNA, 58 nt
Filed under: Setaria labiatopapillosa
Lineage: Eukaryota; Metazoa; Nematoda; Chromadorea; Rhabditida; Setariidae
Description: tRNA-Ile
Source: RNAcentral
UUUAUUAUAAUAGUUUAAUUUUAGAAUUUUGUUUUGAUGAGACAUAGGUUUUUUAUAA